RNAcentral lists this non-coding RNA (24 nucleotides) under Arabidopsis thaliana (thale cress). The record is from RNAcentral. Lineage: Eukaryota; Viridiplantae; Streptophyta; Magnoliopsida; Brassicales; Brassicaceae.
GACAAGUUGUGUGUGUGAGAGAUA